RNAcentral lists this ribosomal RNA (659 nucleotides) under uncultured Basidiomycota. Its description in RNAcentral is "partial 18S ribosomal RNA". The stretch from base 100 to 659 matches the Rfam family "Eukaryotic small subunit ribosomal RNA", at positions 1 to 573 of the family's 1831-position model. The record is from RNAcentral. Lineage: Eukaryota; Fungi; Basidiomycota.
CAUGAUUACGCCAAGCUAUUUAGGUGACACUAUAGAAUACUCAAGCUAUGCAUCCAACGCGUUGGGAGCUCUCCCAUAUGGUCGACCUGCAGGCGGCCGCACUAGUGAUUGUAGUCAUAUGCUUGUCUCAAAGAUUAAGCCAUGCAUGUCUAAGUAUAAGCAAUUAUACCGCGAAACUGCGAAUGGCUCAUUAUAUAAGUUAUCGUUUAUUUGAUAGUACCUUACUACUUGGAUAACCGUGGUAAUUCUAGAGCUAAUACAUGCUAAAAAUCCCGACUUCGGAAGGGAUGUAUUUAUUAGAUUAAAAACCAAUGCCCUUCGGGGCUCACUGGUGAUUCAUGAUAACUCCUCGAAUCGCAUGGCCUUGUGCCGGCGAUGGUUCAUUCAAAUUUCUUCCCUAUCAACUUUCGAUGUUUGGGUAUUGGCCAAACAUGGUUGCAACGGGUAACGGAGGGUUAGGGCUCGACCCCGGAGAAGGAGCCUGAGAAACGGCUACUACAUCCAAGGAAGGCAGCAGGCGCGCAAAUUACCCAAUCCCGACACGGGGAGGUAGUGACAAUAAAUACUGAUACAGGGCUCUUUUGGGUCUUGUAAUUGGGAUGAGUACAAUUUAAAUCCCUUAACGAGGAACAAUUGGAGGGCAAGUCUGGUGCCAGCAG